Molecule: ribosomal RNA, 497 nt
Filed under: uncultured bacterium
Lineage: Bacteria
Description: partial 16S ribosomal RNA
Rfam family: Bacterial small subunit ribosomal RNA
Source: RNAcentral
GACGAACGCUGGCGGCGUGCCUAAUACAUGCAAGUAGAACGCUGAAGAGAGGAGCUUGCUCUUCUUGGAUGAGUUGCGAACGGGUGAGUAACGCGUAGGUAACCUGCCUUGUAGCGGGGGAUAACUAUUGGAAACGAUAGCUAAUACCGCAUAACAAUGGAUGACCCAUGUCAUUUAUUUGAAAGGGGCAAAUGCUCCACUACAAGAUGGACCUGCGUUGUAUUAGCUAGUAGGUGAGGUAACGGCUCACCUAGGCGACGAUACAUAGCCGACCUGAGAGGGUGAUCGGCCACACUGGGACUGAGACACGGCCCAGACUCCUACGGGAGGCAGCAGUAGGGAAUCUUCGGCAAUGGGGGCAACCCUGACCGAGCAACGCCGCGUGAGUGAAGAAGGUUGUCGGAUCGGAAAGCUCUGUUGUAAGUCAAGAACGAGUGUGAGAGUGGAAAGUUCACACUGUGACGGUAGCUUACCAGAAAGGGACGGCUAACUACGUG